GGAGGAGUGCCGGAGUGGUCGAUCGGGGCGCUCUCGAAAAGCGUUAGGCCUUUACGGGUCUCAGAGGUUCGAAUCCUCUCUCCUCCGCCA
This 90-nucleotide transfer RNA is filed under the name Candidatus Kerfeldbacteria bacterium CG08_land_8_20_14_0_20_42_7. RNAcentral describes it as "tRNA-Ser". It matches the Rfam family "tRNA". From Rfam's summary of the family: Transfer RNA (tRNA) molecules are approximately 80 nucleotides in length. Their secondary structure includes four short double-helical elements and three loops (D, anti-codon, and T loops). Further hydrogen bonds mediate the characteristic L-shaped molecular structure. tRNAs have two regions of fundamental functional importance: the anti-codon, which is responsible for specific mRNA codon recognition, and the 3' end, to which the tRNAs corresponding amino acid is attached (by aminoacyl-tRNA synthetases). tRNAs cope with the degeneracy of the genetic code in two manners: having more than one tRNA (with a specific anti-codon) for a particular amino acid; and 'wobble' base-pairing, i.e. permitting non-standard base-pairing at the 3rd anti-codon position. The record is from RNAcentral. Lineage: Bacteria; Candidatus Kerfeldiibacteriota.